RNAcentral lists this ribosomal RNA (858 nucleotides) under Triticum aestivum (bread wheat). Its description in RNAcentral is "partial small subunit ribosomal RNA". The record is from RNAcentral. Lineage: Eukaryota; Viridiplantae; Streptophyta; Magnoliopsida; Poales; Poaceae.
CGGGAGAGGCACUCCUCUGCCCCGAGCCAUCUUAAAAGUAAGCCAUCCAGCUGCCGCCCCUCUCCUCCUAUUUCUCUUCUUCUCUCCCUCUAAUCUCUCUCUCUCUCUCACGUUUUCUUCAGGGACCCCGCACCAUCGCACCUCACCUUGGAGCUCGCCGCCUCGGGUCACCUCUCCGUCUUGAUCUGUCCUCCACUGCCGGAUCCGCCGCCUCAACCUCUCCGCCUCGAUCCGUCCGCCGCCGCCGGAUCCCGGAAGCAGCCGGAUCCGCCGCCGCCUGCCUCACCUGCGUUCGUCCGCAGCGUGGGCCACGCAGCUGCCUCGGCCCCCCUGCCUCGUCCAACCGCGCCAGGAGAGGAGUCCUCUGCCCCGCCACCGGAUCGACCCCGGAGCAGCCGGAUUCGACGUCUACUGCCUCACCUGCGUUCGUCUGCUGCGUGGGCGCAGCUGCUCGUGAACCGUCGUCCAUCUCUCUGCCCUGCUGUGUAGGUCACCUGCGUCGCUAGUGUCGCAGGUCUUCGGGCGGCAUUGAUGCUUCGAUUGGCAGCUGAUGUCUCACUUUCUGAUUCCUUAUUCGCUGUUAUCACCAGCUGGGUCUUUGCGUCUCUCUGCUCCCGAGUAUUGCAGCCCUUCUCUCAUUUAGCAGGUCAUGAUUUUGACUCCCCUCAACCAGCUGAUUUUCUGUGCGUGCGGACCGCGGGUUCAAUAUUAGAAAGUGCAGGGUCCUUUUUAUGAGAACAAAGCGUUUUUUCAAAGUGUGACUUAAACAGGGACUGCGGGUUGAUUUCAAAGAAACAGAGGGGCGUUUUCGCAAAAACACCGACGACGUACGGGCAGAAGCACUCCGUGCUUUAUUAG